UCCUCGGUAGCUCAGCGGUAGAGCGGUCCCCUGUUAAGGGAAAGGUCGCAGGUUCAAAUCCUGCCCGAGGAGCCA
RNAcentral lists this transfer RNA (75 nucleotides) under Candidatus Woesebacteria bacterium GWC1_42_13. RNAcentral describes it as "tRNA-Asn". It matches the Rfam family "tRNA". Rfam says of the family: Transfer RNA (tRNA) molecules are approximately 80 nucleotides in length. Their secondary structure includes four short double-helical elements and three loops (D, anti-codon, and T loops). RNAcentral also lists the same sequence under 1 other name. The record is from RNAcentral. Lineage: Bacteria; Candidatus Woeseibacteriota.